AACUCCUUCCUCCUGCCUCAAUGGCAACGCUCACCGGUUGAUUCGCGACUGCCUUUUUCAAUGCUUUCUCGUCAUUUACCGGAACAUCCUCAUAAUCAUUGAUCGAAACAACUUUAGCAUUUUUCUGCAAGGUGAUUAAAAACACCAAGAUUCAGCAAGGAAAUUGAAAUUCUAUCUUUGUUCCUUUCCCAACUCUAAAAAUAUGAAACCUACCCGGUAUGGGUCACAUGUACCGUCACGAGCGGUGUAAGGGUAAUCUUCUUCGGUGUCAAUGCCACCAUUUUUGAUGAUGAAUUCAAAGGCAUAAUCCAUGAGACCCCCAUUGCAACCUUCAUUGUAAGAUGUAUCACAAUCCACCAACUCCUGCUCAGAUAGUGAAAGGAGUUCGCCUGUAACAAUCUGGUUUAUCCCUUCCACAGCAGCAAUAGUCGAGAAAGCCCAGCAACUCCCUGUAUUUAACAUUAAAUUCUCAGUAAAAUCAUCUUAUUACAAACAUGUAAUAACUAUUUAAUAUAUUAUAUAAAAACAUUGGAAUCUAUCAAUUCAUUAAGCUGUCUAUAUCUUAUGUGGUUCAACUUUUACAGUGGAGUAAGCCCCUGAACUUUCGUGCAAGGAACCUUACUCCUUACCCCACCGAAAGCAGCCACCUCAAGCACUGACACUUCCACUAACUGCAGGGCUGCGAAAGCAUCCUUAUAUCCGACACAAUACUACUAUAGGUCAUAGUUCAUGGGUCGGGUCUAACUUUCCGCGAACCGUUGCAUCUGUUCAAAAUGCUCCCACCCUAUAAAUCCAUCAAAAUUUCGGACAAAAUCGGAUGAUAAAACUGUUCUUCUUAAGUCGACAAUUAUAUUUAUAUAUUUUAAUCCCAUUCACUUAAAAAAUAAGAAAAUCAAUCUAUAUACAUUAAAUCAAAAAAAUAAAUUAAUCUUUUUUGUUAAAUAUUUUAUCCGGUUAAAAACUAAUAUGACUGAAUCAAUAAUAAGACAGUGAGUCACGAAUGAGACCGAGACCAAUUUUUAAGGUAAGAUAUUAAAAUUUCUUUCAACAAAAAUACCGAUUUACUCUAAUCUACUUUCUUACUUUUACCUUAUAUAAGACACCUACAUAUAUCCAAUACUCCACCUCAAAAUCUGAAUAACCAAACAGAACCCACACAAGCAAAGGUUUCUAAGAUAAGGACAGAGACAGGAACCUUCCCUGAAACAUCGGAACUAAGUUAUUUGUUUAAUUUUUUUUGUUCUUUCUCUCCAGGUUUUACAGUUGGCUCAAGAUAAUUAGUGUCUAUCUGGCGGCAGAAGACAUGGAUAGAUUUAUUUGACAGAAACAAAACAAAAUCAUCUGAAAAUAUAAGUUAAAAUGCUAGUUUUCAGACAGACAAGAGAAGCAUCCAUAAAAGAAAAUUGAGAGAGAAACUUACCGCAACUUCCUUGAUCUUUGACUUCAGCGACAGCCCCUUUUUCCCUCCAAUCAACGGAAUCGGGCAACUUUUCGCCGAGAAGCGCGGCGUAUCGGUCACUGGCCUUGGAAACUUUCCGGUUGGCUUUCUUGAUUCCCAAGUAGAUGGCUCGGUACUCCUCGUUGGUAAGAUCAGCAAAGCGGUUCAAACCAACCUUAAAACUCUGACUCUCAUCGGCGUUAUGUUCAUCGAUGAACCUAAGGUUAUCCUUAAAAAUCUGGAACCUCCUCUCUUUCUCACCCAAACCGUUGUAUGUUUUUCCAUGCUUUACAAGCCACUCCUCGUACAUGGCCAUAACUUCGUCGUCUGUUCUCCAACUAGACGUUGACUUGUCGGGAUGGGUUUCAUCGUAGGAUAUAAUGGACAUGUCGG
This 1831-nucleotide long non-coding RNA is filed under the name Gossypium raimondii (Peruvian cotton). RNAcentral's name for it is "long non-coding RNA (GRAI_LNC001197)". Lineage: Eukaryota; Viridiplantae; Streptophyta; Magnoliopsida; Malvales; Malvaceae. The record is from RNAcentral.